AAUCCGCCUGCUGCUCAGGGCCCUCCUCAGGGUGCCCAGCUCUCCACCAGCGGCUCCAUCGUCGGCUUGGGACGCAGAUGGCCUCAGAGGUCACCACCGGGGAGCGCAGGGAGGGGUCCACUGAGUGUCCAGGUCCUUGGGGGCCGCUCAGGGCUCGGCUGCCCUUCAUUCCCCCGCUGUGCUCACACACCCAGUGCUCACCCGCUGCAUCAGAACCCUGCUCCGCAGGAUACGGCCCUGCCGUCCUGCGGACGCUGCGUCCCCAGCGCCCACAGCAGAAACCGAGGGUUGUUGGUGCCGCGGUGGUCGAUGUCAUGGCACAGGCCGGCUGUCACCAUGGCGAAGGCCUCCAGGAGGGCCUGCACAACCCUGGUGAUUCUGGCAGCCACGUACCAUGAGCAGCGUGAACAUCGUCUGGGCCACGUUGAAGCCGUGGCGCCAGUUGUGGUAGGUGAUUCUCCGGUACCCUUUGCUGAUGGAGAACAGGAACCGCACCAGGACCUGGGGGAGCCGAGAGGACACAGGGCUCCGGCGGCAAGCGUGUAAGUCCCGCCAGAGCGGCACCUGUGGCUGACUUCACAGUGGAAGCCCUGCUCCGUGCCAUCAUCCCCACACCGUCUCCUGGACUUCCCGAUCUUCCCCAUCCCUGCGUUUCCCACUGGCCUCUGCUGGCCUUCCUGGGUAGGGGCUGCCACAUUGGCACCUAUGGGGUGGAGCCAGGUAGGGCAGGAGCUGAGAACAGCCCCAGCCUUCAGGGGCCGCCCAGCCUCCAUCCGACUGCCUGGCCUCAAGCUGGGAGGAGGACCCCUGGGGAUGCAGCAUAUUUUAAGAUGUUGGUUUUAGGCAUGGACAUUUGAAUGAGCAGAAUGUGUGGGCUGCAGGCUGGGGUGGGAGAACCGAUGUCCGCAGGGCAAGAGAAUGCUGGUCUCUCUUGCCCUGCGGACAUCGCCAGGAGGCUCUUCCUGCGGCCAUUGUGAUUUUUAGGGUCAGAAAAUUAUUUGGAAAUAUUUUUUAUUCUGCAAAUAUUUUCUAUACAUUUUUUCUUGAGUGUUUUCCCUUAGUAUUUAGUAAAACUUCUUUUGAAAAUGCUGGCCUGCUGCACCUGUUCUCAGAGGGGCAUGAGAAAAGAGGAUUCUCUUCCUAGGGCUGUGGGAAGCCCCUUGAGAUGUUGGAAGCAGGGCAGGGCAGGAGAACCCAGGGAGGGCACAGAGCUGUGGACGAGGGCUGGGAAAGCCAUCCCGCCUCCCCAGGGGGUCUCCGAGGAGUGCUGCUGUGGCCAAACCAGGGGGGCCACUUUGUGCUUUCUGUUUAGGUGAUGGGAUGCUUCUAUCUCCUCAGCACCCCACACCAAAUCCCCUGUUAUUGCCAGAUGAUGUGCCUAAUGAUCAAAUUGCUUGGAACUCCUAAUAAUAAAACUUUAAAUCUAUCCAUUC
This 1433-nucleotide long non-coding RNA is filed under the name Homo sapiens (human). Its description in RNAcentral is "non-protein coding lnc-ATP5ME-1:11". The record is from RNAcentral. Lineage: Eukaryota; Metazoa; Chordata; Mammalia; Primates; Hominidae.